This 229-nucleotide unclassified non-coding RNA is filed under the name plant metagenome. Its description in RNAcentral is "partial contains small subunit ribosomal RNA, internal transcribed spacer 1, and 5.8S ribosomal RNA". The record is from RNAcentral.
UCUCCGUAGGUGAACCUGCGGAGGGAUCAUUACAGAGUUCUCGCCCCUCCGGGUAGAUCUCCCACCCACUGUGAUUGAUACUGUGUUGCUUUGGCGGGCCGCCGGGCCCUGCCCGUCCGCCGGCUCCGGCUGGCGCGCGCCCGCCACAGGCUCCGCAAACUCUGAAUGGCAGUGUUGUCUGAGUACUAUAUAAUAGUUAAAACUUUCAACAACGGAUCUCUUGGUUCUG